Molecule: ribosomal RNA, 449 nt
Filed under: uncultured bacterium
Lineage: Bacteria
Description: partial 16S ribosomal RNA
Rfam family: Bacterial small subunit ribosomal RNA
Source: RNAcentral
UGCCAGACUCCUACGGGAGGCAGCAGUAGGGAAUCUUUCACAAUGGGCGAAAGCCUGAUGGAGCAACGCCGCGUGCAGGAUGAAGGCCUUCGGGUUGUAAACUGCUUUUAUAAGCGAGAAAUAUGAUGGUAACUUAUGAAUAAGGAUCGGCUAACUACGUGCCAGCAGCCGCGGUCAUACGUAGGAUCCGAGCAUUAUCCGGAGUGACUGGGUGUAAAGGGAGCGUAGACGGCGAUGCAAGUCUGAAGUGAAAGGCGGGGGCCCAACCCCCGGACUGCUUUGGAAACUGUAUAGCUGGAGUGCAGGAGAGGUAAGUGGAAUUCCUAGUGUAGCGGUGAAAUGCGUAGAUAUCAGGAGGAACACCGGCGGCGAAGGCGGCCUGCUGGACCGCGACUGACGUUGAGGCUCGAAAGCGUGGGGAGCAAACAGGAUUAGAUACCCCAGUACUA